RNAcentral lists this ribosomal RNA (614 nucleotides) under uncultured bacterium. Its description in RNAcentral is "bacterial SSU rRNA". It matches the Rfam family "Bacterial small subunit ribosomal RNA", at positions 338 to 945 of the family's 1533-position model. The record is from RNAcentral.
CCUACGGGAGGCAGCAGUGGGGAAUUUUGGACAAUGGGCGCAAGCCUGAUCCAGCCAUGCCGCGUGAGUGAAGAAGGCCUUCGGGUUGUAAAGCUCUUUCGGCGGGGAAGAAAAGGUACGUGCUAAUACCACGGACUAAUGACGGUACCCGAAGAAGAAGCACCGGCUAACUACGUGCCAGCAGCCGCGGUAAUACGUAGGGUGCAGGCGUUAAUCGGAAUUACUGGGCGUAAAGCGUGCGCAGGCGGUUUGUUAAGACAGAUGUGAAAUCCCCGGGCUUAACCUGGGAACUGCGUUUGUUACUGGCAAGCUAGAGUGUGGCAGAGGGGGGUAGAAUUCCAGGUGUAGCAGUGAAAUGCGUAGAUAUCUGGAGGAAUACCGAUGGCGAAGGCAGCCCCCUGGGCUAACACUGACGCUCAUGCACGAAAGCGUGGGGAGCAAACAGGAUUAGAUACCCUGGUAGUCCACGCCCUAAACUAUGUCAACUGGUUGUCGGGGAAGCAAUUCCUUGGUAACGAAGCUAACGCGUGAAGUUGACCGCCUGGGGAUACGGCCGCAAGGUUAAAACUCAAAGGAAUUGACGGCUGAGACGNGCGAGACGACGACGAGGAGAG